Molecule: ribosomal RNA, 258 nt
Filed under: Triticum aestivum (bread wheat)
Lineage: Eukaryota; Viridiplantae; Streptophyta; Magnoliopsida; Poales; Poaceae
Description: partial small subunit ribosomal RNA
Source: RNAcentral
AUGGAGAUUUUCAAGGGGGAGGAACUAUUCUGGCAGCGAGGGGGCCAGAAGUGGCUCCUUCAAGGCGAUGCUAACUCCGCGUAUUUCCAAGCGAUCGCGAAUGGGCGUCGCAGGAAGUGCUCCAUCUCGUGCCUUUGGGAAGGGAACACCCUUCUCGAACACCCGGAUGAGAUUAGGACCCACAUUUACUCCUUCUAUAAGGGGCUCUUCUCGGCAGAACCCCGUGGUGGGAUCUCCCUGGCGGAUGAUUUCUGGCCC